RNAcentral lists this transfer RNA (72 nucleotides) under Cardiastethus sp. RNAcentral's name for it is "tRNA-Lys". Lineage: Eukaryota; Metazoa; Arthropoda; Insecta; Hemiptera; Anthocoridae. The record is from RNAcentral.
CAUUGAGUGGCUGAAAAGUAAGCACCGGUCUCUUAAACCGUAAUAUAGUAAAUUAACGCAUACUCUUAAUGA